GCCACUCCAUGGAUCAAUGCAGGGCCUUACUCUAGGCCAGCUCCUCUUACAGGCAAAGUGCUGCUCACUGGGAAGAUCUCCGGUCCCCAGUGUUUGGGGCUACCCUUAAGUGGGGCCAUAAUCACUAUAACAGUCCACUUUCGGCUGGUGCUGGCAUAUGGUACAGAGCCAUCUAAAUCAGAUAUUUAUUGAGCACCAGCUGUGUGGCCGACCAGAGCCCAGGGCUAGAGCAGUGGCUUUCUAAAUGUCACCCUUCACGCACGUGGACCUUGAUGCACAUCCUUCUUCCUGUUUGUCUUGCGGCUGCGCAAAGGACCCCAUGGUUAGAAGACCAUACCGUGGAAGGCAGCGAAGCAGUUCUGUCAAGAAGCAGGGGAGCCAAAGCUAAUAUACAGUCAUGUCUGCUGAAAUGUUUAUUUUACACAAUUCUUGAAAAGUGAACAGAAACCAUGAUUUUAAAUUGGAUUAAGAGAGAUUAUGUGUGUGUGUGUGGGGGGUGGAAUCAGAUGCACAGAGUGUUUAAGGGAGAACAGUUUGGAGACCAGAGUCAGAUUUUUUGUGGUUAUUCGUCUUCCUCCAGGUUGUUUCCCCAAGCUCAGAGCUGGCUCUGAAAUCAGUAGGCAUUUUGGACGGAGAACGAAAAGAAACAACAGUGGGGAAAUAGAGAUUUCUUGGUACCGAUUCUGAAGCUCUUUCACAGUUAACAUAUUUUUUUUCAGUGCUUCCCAAAUAUUUCUCUCUUUCCAGGGACGAGAAUGCUUAUGCCCCUGGCCCUUCUCCAGUUGGGAUUUUACCUGAGAAUUUAAAUAAACCAUCAGCAGAGUGCUUGGUGGGCAAAGAAUUCAGAGCCAAGGAGAGUGAAUCUUAUAGGAGAAGUUGCAUCCGGGUGAGGGAGUGACAGCCGGACCCCUGGCCCACAGAUGGCAGCCUGUCUACCUCUGUGACUACACCUCUGCCUGUCAUCCCCCAUCUCACGGCCUAGGCUGUGCCCCCAUCAAGCUUGCCAGUCCCUGGUGACUUGGCCUUACCUCUUUUCCUGAGUUCUGGACUCUGGGUUCACCCCUUGGCCAAGUCAUGCACCUGCAGGUAUUCAUUGAGCUCCUGCC
Molecule: long non-coding RNA, 1106 nt
Organism: Canis lupus familiaris (dog)
Lineage: Eukaryota; Metazoa; Chordata; Mammalia; Carnivora; Canidae
Exons: 3
Source: RefSeq, a predicted model, not a curated record